This is a non-coding RNA of Myotis lucifugus (little brown bat), 159 nucleotides long. Lineage: Eukaryota; Metazoa; Chordata; Mammalia; Chiroptera; Vespertilionidae. The record is from Rfam.
ACACUAACCGGGCAGGGGAGAGGCCAUGAUCACCAAGGUGGUUUUCCCAGGACGAGGCUCAUCCAUGGCACUCCGGAUGUGCUGACCCCUGCGAUUUCCCCACAUGGGGGAAACUCCACUGUGUGCUGUGGUAGUGGGGGACUGCAUUAGCACCCCUAG